GGGAAGGUGGCAGAGAGGUCGAUUGCAUCGGUUUUGAAAACCGGCGUAAUUUAAUUAUUACCGAGGGUUCGAAUCCCUCCUUUCCCA
This 87-nucleotide transfer RNA is filed under the name Partenskyella glossopodia. RNAcentral describes it as "tRNA-Ser". It matches the Rfam family "tRNA". Rfam says of the family: Transfer RNA (tRNA) molecules are approximately 80 nucleotides in length. Their secondary structure includes four short double-helical elements and three loops (D, anti-codon, and T loops). Further hydrogen bonds mediate the characteristic L-shaped molecular structure. tRNAs have two regions of fundamental functional importance: the anti-codon, which is responsible for specific mRNA codon recognition, and the 3' end, to which the tRNAs corresponding amino acid is attached (by aminoacyl-tRNA synthetases). tRNAs cope with the degeneracy of the genetic code in two manners: having more than one tRNA (with a specific anti-codon) for a particular amino acid; and 'wobble' base-pairing, i.e. permitting non-standard base-pairing at the 3rd anti-codon position. Lineage: Eukaryota; Cercozoa; Chlorarachniophyceae. The record is from RNAcentral.